Non-coding RNA from Gossypium hirsutum (cotton), 146 nucleotides. The record is from Rfam. NCBI's taxonomy places the organism in Eukaryota, Viridiplantae, Streptophyta, Magnoliopsida, Malvales, Malvaceae.
UGUUAAAAAUUUUAUCCAUUUUUAUUGUUAAAAACUAGUGUGAUUAACGGAAUAACUAGACAAUUAAACAUGAGCGUGCCAUGUAUAUCUUAUUUUGACGUACAAUGACUAGUUUUUAACGGUAAAAAUUGAUGAAAUUUUUAAUA